Molecule: non-coding RNA, 271 nt
Filed under: Paenibacillus bovis
Lineage: Bacteria; Bacillati; Bacillota; Bacilli; Caryophanales; Paenibacillaceae
Description: T-box sequence
Rfam family: T-box leader
About the family: Uncharged tRNA acts as the effector for transcription antitermination of genes in the T-box leader family. T-boxes are found upstream of many aminoacyl-tRNA synthetase genes and some amino acid biosynthetic genes usually in Gram-positive bacteria.
Source: RNAcentral
UAAUACUCAGUGAAAAGGAAUAGUAAUAUCAGCAAGCAUUACAUAGAGAGUCGGCGGCUGGUGCAAGCCGAUAUGAUGCUGAUGUGAACUCGCCUUGGAGAUAUGUGUCAGGAAUUACAGGAUUGAUCCGUACAGUGAAUCGGAUCUAUAUCCAUGUAUUCUCAAACACAUCGGCUUCCUGCCGUUAUCAGGCAACUAAGUGAGUGAAUGGUGAAGCAUACCUGUUCGCUAACUAGGGUGGUACCGCGAGAUUCAACCUCUCGUCCCUAGC